AAAUGAAUAGACGGGGGCCCGCACAAGCGGUGGAGCAUGUGCUUUAAUUCGAUGCAACGCGAAGAACCUUACCCAGGCUUGACAUGGGGGCGAAAGCCUAUAGAAAUAUAGGAACUCCGCAAGGACGCCCUACACAGGUGCUGCAUGGUUGUCGUCAGCUCGUGUCGUGAGAUGUUGGGUUAAGUCCCGCAACGAGCGCAACCCUCGCCCUUAGUUGCCAACAGGUAAAGCUGGGAACUCUAAGGGGACUGCCUGGUUUAACCAGGAGGAAGGUGGGGAUGACGUCAAAUCCUCAUGGCCCUUACGCCUGGGGCUAGACACGUGCUACAAUGGUCGGUACAACGGGCUGCAAGCUGGCGACAGCAAGCUAAUCCCUAAAAACCGAUCUCAGUUCGGAUUGGAGUCUGCAAUUCGACUCCAUGAAGCUGGAAUCGCUAGUAAUCGCGGAUCAGCAUGCCGCGGUGAAUACGUUCCCGGGCCUUGUACACACCGCCCGU
RNAcentral lists this ribosomal RNA (497 nucleotides) under uncultured bacterium. RNAcentral describes it as "bacterial SSU rRNA". It matches the Rfam family "Bacterial small subunit ribosomal RNA", at positions 903 to 1397 of the family's 1533-position model. The record is from RNAcentral.